UUGAUGAAUAGAACUGCGCAGUAUAUAUGUGUGAUUAAUUAGUCAUUUAGUAUGGAUUGAUGGAUCUACAUGAUCCAUUUGUGUUUGUCAUCUGAGGAUUAAUUAGUCCCCUACUAUGCCGAGCACGAGCACAGUGUCACUGCAAAGCAUUAUAUUUGCGUCACCUCAGAUCUAAUGGAAAGGCAAGGAUGGAUCAUGGCUGAAGGGACCAAAGGAUAUCAUACAAGGUGAAGAGCCAAACUCUGCGGAUGAUGUUGUGAAGUUCUUUUUUGGUACAGUUUAUCAAAUUGCUGAGCAUAGGCAUCCUUUUAGCUGGUUCAUGCCCAGAAUUUACUAAGUUUUGUGUCAGUUAGAUGGUGAACAUAUGUGACAAAGUGACAUGUUAUGAAAUGGUUGUAAUGGCACAUGAUGUAUAAAUAUGAUGUAAUUUUGAAUGCUUCGAUUGAGCAAUUCUACAGGGAUUGUCUAAUA
This is a long non-coding RNA of Panicum virgatum (switchgrass), 471 nucleotides long. RefSeq lists it as uncharacterized. The record is from RefSeq and is a predicted model, not a curated record. Lineage: Eukaryota; Viridiplantae; Streptophyta; Magnoliopsida; Poales; Poaceae. The transcript has 3 exons.